AAAUUGAAGAGUUUGAUCAUGGCUCAGAUUGAACGCUGGCGGCAGGCCUAACACAUGCAAGUCGAACGGUAACAGGAAGCAGCUUGCUGCUUCGCUGACGAGUGGCGGACGGGUGAGUAAUGUCUGGGAAACUGCCUGAUGGAGGGGGAUAACUACUGGAAACGGUGGCUAAUACCGCAUAACGUCGCAAGACCAAAGAGGGGGACCUUCGGGCCUCUUGCCAUCAGAUGUGCCCAGAUGGGAUUAGCUUGUUGGUGAGGUAACGGCUCACCAAGGCGACGAUCCCUAGCUGGUCUGAGAGGAUGACCAGCCACACUGGAACUGAGACACGGUCCAGACUCCUACGGGAGGCAGCAGUGGGGAAUAUUGCACAAUGGGCGCAAGCCUGAUGCAGCCAUGCCGCGUGUAUGAAGAAGGCCUUCGGGUUGUAAAGUACUUUCAGCGGGGAGGAAGGUGUUGCGGUUAAUAACCGCAGCAAUUGACGUUACCCGCAGAAGAAGCACCGGCUAACUCCGUGCCAGCAGCCGCGGUAAUACGGAGGGUGCAAGCGUUAAUCGGAAUUACUGGGCGUAAAGCGCAC
RNAcentral lists this ribosomal RNA (580 nucleotides) under Salmonella enterica subsp. enterica serovar Infantis. RNAcentral's name for it is "bacterial SSU rRNA". It matches the Rfam family "Bacterial small subunit ribosomal RNA", at positions 1 to 570 of the family's 1533-position model. RNAcentral also lists the same sequence under 2 other names. The record is from RNAcentral. Lineage: Bacteria; Pseudomonadati; Pseudomonadota; Gammaproteobacteria; Enterobacterales; Enterobacteriaceae.